RNAcentral lists this ribosomal RNA (1363 nucleotides) under Nocardia ignorata. RNAcentral's name for it is "bacterial SSU rRNA". It matches the Rfam family "Bacterial small subunit ribosomal RNA". The record is from RNAcentral. Lineage: Bacteria; Bacillati; Actinomycetota; Actinomycetes; Mycobacteriales; Nocardiaceae.
CCUUCGGGGUACACGAGCGGCGAACGGGUGAGUAACACGUGGGUGAUCUGCCUUGCACUUCGGGAUAAGCCUGGGAAACUGGGUCUAAUACCGGAUAUGACCUCGGGAUGCAUGGGGGUGGAAAGAUUUAUCGGUGCGAGAUGGGCCCGCGGCCUAUCAGCUUGUUGGUGAGGUAACGGCUCACCAAGGCGACGACGGGUAGCCGACCUGAGAGGGUGACCGGCCACACUGGGACUGAGACACGGCCCAGACUCCUACGGGAGGCAGCAGUGGGGAAUAUUGCACAAUGGGCGAAAGCCUGAUGCAGCGACGCCGCGUGCGGGAUGACGGCCUUCGGGUUGUAAACCGCUUUUGACAGGGACGAAGCGCAAGUGACUGUACCUGUAGAAUAAGGACCGGCCAACUACGUGCCAGCAGCCGCGGUAAUACGUAGGGUCCGAGCGUUGUCCGGAAUUACUGGGCGUAAAGAGCUUGUAGGCGGUUCGUCGCGUCGUUUGUGAAAACUUGGGGCUCAACCUUAAGCUUGCAGGCGAUACGGGCGGACUAGAGUACUUCAGGGGAGACUGGAAUUCCUGGUGUAGCGGUGAAAUGCGCAGAUAUCAGGAGGAACACCGGUGGCGAAGGCGGGUCUCUGGGAAGUAACUGACGCUGAGAAGCGAAAGCAUGGGUAGCAAACAGGAUUAGAUACCCUGGUAGUCCAUGCCGUAAACGGUGGGUACUAGGUGUGGGGCUCCUUCCACGGACUCCGUGCCGUAGCUAACGCAUUAAGUACCCCGCCUGGGGAGUACGGCCGCAAGGCUAAAACUCAAAGAAAUUGACGGGGGCCCGCACAAGCGGCGGAGCAUGUGGAUUAAUUCGAUGCAACGCGAAGAACCUUACCUGGGUUUGACAUACACCAGAAACACGUAGAGAUACGUGCCCCCUUGUGGUUGGUGUACAGGUGGUGCAUGGCUGUCGUCAGCUCGUGUCGUGAGAUGUUGGGUUAAGUCCCGCAACGAGCGCAACCCUUAUCUUAUGUUGCCAGCGCGUAAUGGCGGGGACUCGUGAGAGACUGCCGGGGUCAACUCGGAGGAAGGUGGGGACGACGUCAAGUCAUCAUGCCCCUUAUGUCCAGGGCUUCACACAUGCUACAAUGGCCGGUACAGAGGGCUGCGAUACCGUGAGGUGGAGCGAAUCCCUUAAAGCCGGUCUCAGUUCGGAUCGGGGUCUGCAACUCGACCCCGUGAAGUUGGAGUCGCUAGUAAUCGCAGAUCAGCAACGCUGCGGUGAAUACGUUCCCGGGCCUUGUACACACCGCCCGUCACGUCAUGAAAGUCGGUAACACCCGAAGCCGGUGGCCUAACCCCUUGUGGGAGGGAGCCGU